GAACGAACGUUGGCGGCGUGGAUGAGGCAUGCAAGUCGAACGUGAAAGCCGCAAGGCGAGUAAAGUGGCGGACGGGCGAGUAACACGUAAUCAAGCUACCUGCGAGACGGGAAUAACCUCGGGAAACCGAGGCUAAGACCCGAUGGUCUCCCUGGACCGCAUGGUUCUAGGAGUAAAUGGCCGGGAUCCUUCGGGACCGGCUGCUUGCAGAGGUGAUUGCGGCCCAUCAGCUAGUUGGUAGGGUAACGGCCUACCAAGGCAACGACGGGUAGCCGGCCUUAGAGGGUGGUCGGCCGCACUGGGACUGAGACACUGCCCAGACUCCUACGGGAGGCUGCAGUCGAGAAUCUUCCGCAAUGGGCGAAAGCCUGACGGAGCGACGCCGCGUGGAGGAUGAAGGCCUUCGGGUUGUAAACUCCUGUCACGAGUUAAGAAAGGCAAGCAGCGAACAGUUGUUUGCUCUGACGUAAGCUCGAGAGGAAGCACUGGCUAACUCUGUGC
This 501-nucleotide ribosomal RNA is filed under the name uncultured bacterium. Its description in RNAcentral is "bacterial SSU rRNA". It matches the Rfam family "Bacterial small subunit ribosomal RNA", at positions 27 to 508 of the family's 1533-position model. The record is from RNAcentral.